CUACGGGCGGCUGCAGUGAGGAAUAUUGGACAAUGGAGGAAACUCUGAUCCAGCCAUGCCGCGUGAGUGAAGAAGGCCUUAGGGUUGUAAAGCUCUUUCAAUAGUGAAGAUAAUGACGGUAGCUAUAGAAGAAGCUCCGGCUAAAUUCGUGCCAGCAGCCGCGGUAAUACGAAUGGAGCAAGCGUUGUUCGGAAUCACUGGGCUUAAAGCGUGCGCAGGCGGAAACGAAAGUCAGAAGUGAAAUCCCAGGGCUCAACCUUGGAACUGCUUUUGAAACUUCGUUUCUAGAAUCCGAUAGAGGUAAGGAGAAUUCCUAGUGUAGAGGUGAAAUUCGCAGAUAUUAGGAGGAAUACCAGUGGCGUAGGCGCCUUACUGGGUCGGUAUUGACGCUCAUGUACGAAAGCGUGGGGAGCAAACAGGAUUAGAUACCCUAGUAGUC
RNAcentral lists this ribosomal RNA (439 nucleotides) under uncultured bacterium. RNAcentral describes it as "partial 16S ribosomal RNA". It matches the Rfam family "Bacterial small subunit ribosomal RNA", at positions 339 to 795 of the family's 1533-position model. The record is from RNAcentral.